Molecule: ribosomal RNA, 183 nt
Filed under: Thermoprotei archaeon
Lineage: Archaea; Thermoproteati; Thermoproteota; Thermoprotei
Description: partial 16S ribosomal RNA
Rfam family: Archaeal small subunit ribosomal RNA
Source: RNAcentral
GCGGCCAGACUCCGGUUGAUCCUGCCGGACCGGACUGCUAUCGGGGUAGGGCUAAGCCAUGCAAGUCGCACGCCCGGGGGCAUGGCCGGGCGUGGCGGACGGCUCAGUAACGCGUGGCUAACCUACCCUCGGGAGGGGGAUAACCCCGGGAAACUGGGGCUAAUCCCCCAUAGGCGCGGACAC